This 248-nucleotide long non-coding RNA is filed under the name Brassica rapa (field mustard). Its description in RNAcentral is "long non-coding RNA (BRAP_LNC000387)". Lineage: Eukaryota; Viridiplantae; Streptophyta; Magnoliopsida; Brassicales; Brassicaceae. The record is from RNAcentral.
UUGCUUGUUACGAAACCUCAACUUUAAAACCCCCAUAUUGUUUUAGCUUGAUAUUGAUCCCAUAAAGAUAAAGUGUAAUAGUUGGUCUCUGUGGAUUCGAUCCUAAAGUGCUACAUCGACAUACCAUUCGAUUGUGGUAGUGUUUACAUUAGGUUAAUUGGUGUGCGUAUACACGUAAUAUCACGCUAUCUGAGAAUUGUCGAACAACAACAGACCUAAACCAUUGCCUAAGAUAUAACUACCUCGUC